This is a small nucleolar RNA of Vicugna pacos (alpaca), 128 nucleotides long. Lineage: Eukaryota; Metazoa; Chordata; Mammalia; Artiodactyla; Camelidae. The record is from Ensembl.
UUCAUUUCCUUCUUUAAGACUCUAGUACAUUAUGUCUUUAUUGGUCAUUCAAGUGGGGCAAAGAAAAUAUCCUUUUAAAACUCAAACAUACUGGGUGUUUGUCUUGUAACCUAUCAGAGGAAACAAAC